Molecule: ribosomal RNA, 469 nt
Filed under: Streptomyces sp. A00078
Lineage: Bacteria; Bacillati; Actinomycetota; Actinomycetes; Kitasatosporales; Streptomycetaceae
Description: bacterial SSU rRNA
Rfam family: Bacterial small subunit ribosomal RNA
Source: RNAcentral
GCGUGCUUACACAUGCAAGUCGAACGAUGAUCCGGUUUCGGCCGGUGAUUAGUGGCGAACGGGUGAGUAACACGUGGGUAAUCUGCCCUGCACUCUGGGAUAAGCCUGGGAAACUGGGUCUAAUACCGGAUAUGACCUUCGGUCGCAUGAUCGUUGGUGGAAAGCUUUUGCGGUGUGGGAUGGGCCCGCGGCCUAUCAGCUUGUUGGUGGGGUAGUGGCCUACCAAGGCGACGACGGGUAGCCGGCCUGAGAGGGUGACCGGCCACACUGGGACUGAGACACGGCCCAGACUCCUACGGGAGGCAGCAGUGGGGAAUAUUGCACAAUGGGCGAAAGCCUGAUGCAGCGACGCCGCGUGAGGGAUGACGGCCUUCGGGUUGUAAACCUCUUUCAGCAGGGAAGAAGCGCAAGUGACGGUACCUGCAGAAGAAGCACCGGCUAACUACGUGCCAGCAGCCGCGGUAAUACA